Molecule: ribosomal RNA, 423 nt
Filed under: uncultured eukaryote
Lineage: Eukaryota
Description: SSU rRNA
Rfam family: Eukaryotic small subunit ribosomal RNA
Source: RNAcentral
UCCAGCUCCAAUAGCGUAUAUUAAAGUUGUUGCAGUUAAAAAGCUCGUAGUUGAACUUCAGACCUGGCCGGGUGGUCUGCCUCACGGUAUGUACUGUCUGGCUGGGUCUUACCUCUUGGUGAGCCGGCAUGCCCUUUACUGGGUGUGUCGGGGAACCAGGACUUUUACCUUGAGAAAAUUAGAGUGUUCAAAGCAGGCCUAUGCCUGAAUACAUUAGCAUGGAAUAAUAAAAUAGGACGUGCGGUUCUAUUUUGUUGGUUUCUACAGUCGCCGUAAUGAUUAAUAGGGAUAGUUGGGGGCAUUAGUAUUCAGUUGCUAGAGGUGAAAUUCUUGGAUUUACUGAAGACUAACUACUGCGAAAGCAUUUGCCACGGAUGUUUUCAUUAAUCAAGAACGAAGGUUAGGGGAUCCAAAACGAUCAGA